This 181-nucleotide ribosomal RNA is filed under the name Staphylococcus epidermidis. RNAcentral's name for it is "partial 16S ribosomal RNA". It matches the Rfam family "Bacterial small subunit ribosomal RNA", at positions 327 to 500 of the family's 1533-position model. The record is from RNAcentral. Lineage: Bacteria; Bacillati; Bacillota; Bacilli; Caryophanales; Staphylococcaceae.
CGGUCCAGACUCCUACGGGAGGCAGCAGUAGGGAAUCUUCCGCAAUGGGCGAAAGCCUGACGGAGCAACGCCGCGUGAGUGAUGAAGGUCUUCGGAUCGUAAAACUCUGUUAUUAGGGAAGAACAAAUGUGUAAGUAACUAUGCACGUCUUGACGGUACCUAAUCAGAAAGCCACGGCUAA